AGCAAGUACAUGUAGGUUUAUUAUAGGUCAAAAAUAUGGAGGAAAGACAUCAAAUACAUUCAGAAAGAGACAACUUUUAACUUCUUUAAUAACACAUUCAAAAUUUUAACAUGAGGAGGAUUCACUACUUUAAUUAACUUUAAACACAAUUUUAAGAACAAAAGACCACACACUGGUCAAAACAUUUAGAAAUUCAAUGGGUAUGAAGUAACAAUAGAGUGGAAAACCUUACAACAACUGAAUUCAGUAUGCUCAUUGUACAGCUGACCAAACUAAAGGCCAAGGCAACUGGAAUAUAACAAUCCACAUGUGAUUUUGAAAAUGACAGAAACUACCUCGGUUAUGAGAAAUGCAGGUUGACUGCUUUAGGGGAAUGUAAUCCUCAAAUUAGAAUUUUCCACUGUA
Molecule: long non-coding RNA, 405 nt
Filed under: Bos taurus (domestic cattle)
Lineage: Eukaryota; Metazoa; Chordata; Mammalia; Artiodactyla; Bovidae
Description: long non-coding RNA NONBTAT026476
Source: RNAcentral